UAUGCACCUGUAAUUGCUUUAUUUUUGUCCCCAUUACUCUUCUUAAUAUGCUCUCCACACUUUUAACUUAUGAAAUGUACAUAAUUCAGGCUCUAGCGAGUGAACAUUGAUCUAGGGGGAAAGUGAAAACAAUAUUGUUGCCAGGAUUUUUCUUGGUUCUUAGUUGUUUUUCCAUUUUACAUAUUUUUCUGUAUGCACCUGUAAUUGCUUUAUUUUUGUCCCCAUUUUUCUUCUGAAUGCAGUGCUCUCCACACUUUUAACUUAUGAAACGUACAUAAUUCAGGCUCUUGCGAAUGAACUUUGAUCUAGGGGGAAAGUGAAAAAAGUAUUGCUACACCAGGUAAUUUUUGCUACUUCUGAUCUAUAACUGUGCAGCUACAAUACACCUUGCUUCUACCUUGUGUUUUGUGUUAUAAUAUGUAGAUAUGUGUACGUGUGAGAAUAGAUUAAAUGUUACCCUUAUAAAGUUUCAACUUUAACAAAGAAAAUGUGUUAAACUUGAUGAAGAUCUACUUGAUCACACGAUAGGUGGAUGAAGAUCUACUUGAUCACACGACAGGCCAUCCAUAUCUUCGUUCCGAAAAUAAUAAAAGAAACCUUAGGUGACGUAUCGCGUACAAAGAAAUGCCACCUGAAAAAAGCAGCUCUUCUAGAGCGACGUCGGGCUGCAUAUGCUGCGAGAAAACGCCGCUUUUCUGAAAUUUCUUCCGCCAACCCUUCUGAUCAAAGUCAGUCUUCUUUCGAAUCUGAAUGGAUGAUAUCAGGACAAGCUUCUACCUUCAUCCGAGACAUACCUUCUUCUUCCCGAAAUGGUUGGUUGAAUUGAACUAUAAUAUUCGAUUAACUUCCGGCAUUUUAGGCUAUCUUCAGAUAGUUAACAUAUUUUGAGGUGCUGCCUGUAUAUUACACACCGGCAUCAGGAACAUAUAAUGAAAAUUUAACUACUUAUGAUAUUGCAGGACGCUCCUCGACACAGGUAGG
This 981-nucleotide long non-coding RNA is filed under the name Nicotiana benthamiana. RNAcentral's name for it is "long non-coding RNA (NBEN_LNC021300)". The record is from RNAcentral. Lineage: Eukaryota; Viridiplantae; Streptophyta; Magnoliopsida; Solanales; Solanaceae.